This 1069-nucleotide long non-coding RNA is filed under the name Homo sapiens (human). Its description in RNAcentral is "non-protein coding FOXD3-AS1:21". Lineage: Eukaryota; Metazoa; Chordata; Mammalia; Primates; Hominidae. The record is from RNAcentral.
AGACAGGGACUGGGCGACCUAGAACGAGGUUCCCAUAUCGUGUUUUAAAAAGCAAAACUUAGUCUCUGUUUUGCUUUUUGUUUCAUUGUUUUUAGCUUUAAAGAGUAAGAGCAGCGCACCCGGCUCCCUCCUGCUAAUUAGAUUUCAGAUUCCCCUCUGGCCUCAGUGCUCAUUCCGGGGAAGACACCUGCUGAGAUGUCUUUUUCCCCCUCCCCCAACCAAACCACUCAGGUCCUACCUGCUCUUUCCCGGCUUGAUGCGGGCGUGUUUUCCUGUAUGUAUUUUUUCGUGCGGCCACAAAAAGCAUCAGCUGGGGUUCCCGAAGGUCAGAAAAUGGCUAUUGAUUAAUCUACUAGAAUAGUUGCCGAGAGAAAUAAAAACGACGUAAAAUAGCAGGGAACCUAUAAAUAAAGAAGCCAUAACUGGCUACUUGGAGUUGUUAAACGACUUAGCAUAUGAAAAAAUCGGAAAUGAGGCGCUGGGGAAGGAGCUGGGAUUGGCAGCGGCCUGGGUAAGUCGAGUGGAUCCGGGAAGAGGCCUGGUGUCUUCAGGUGUGGACAAAUCCUCCAAGAUUUAACUUCCAAGAAAACCGGCGGCGGAGCGGGUGGAGGAGGCGAGGAUGUGUGGCCAAUGCACGCGGAGUGCAAGGCCGCCUAGUUGGGAGCCGCAAGAGCCUGCCUGGUGUGGCAGGCACACGGAACCCAAUCCCUGUCUGUCCGCUGCGGCCUGGGAGGGGAGCGCCGGCCUCACCAGAGGAAGGAGCACGAGGGGAGGAGUUCCGAGAGGAAAUAAUUAGUGAAAUAUUUGCAGAAGAUGCUGGGAUGUGGAUUUAAUUCCGGAUGGACAGUGGUGCUUCUGAUUCCCUCAGUCUGUUUCCCCACCCACGAUCUCCUCUUUCCUUGGCCUAGACACACCAAAAAUAAUUCAAUAAAAUAAAAAUAAAAAUUUAAAAAUCUGUAAACUUGCUUCAUUACAGGCAUUGAGACACACAGAUUGACUUUCAUCCCCAUUAGACAGUUUCCCAGGAUAUAACACUACUCAUCUGAGGCUGGGAGCAGGGUAGGGGGUG